CGAUGUGUACUCUUAAUUGGUAAAGCAGACUCGAUUAAGCGCUUAGGCGUAAAUCGUGUGUAUGUGGGUUCGACUCCCACCAUAUCGU
Shewanella oneidensis MR-1 is the source of this 88-nucleotide non-coding RNA. Lineage: Bacteria; Pseudomonadati; Pseudomonadota; Gammaproteobacteria; Alteromonadales; Shewanellaceae. The record is from Rfam.